Pelobates cultripes (western spadefoot toad) is the source of this 220-nucleotide non-coding RNA. NCBI's taxonomy places the organism in Eukaryota, Metazoa, Chordata, Amphibia, Anura, Pelobatidae. The record is from the annotation of a GenBank genome assembly.
UUUAGUUUAGAAAAACGUCGCCUGAGAGGGGAUAUGAUAACAUUAUACAAAUAUAUUCAGGGCCAAUACAAACCAUUGUGUGGAAAUCUAUUCACAAACCAGACUUUACAUAGGACACGAGGUCGUGUGUUUAGACUGGAAGAAAGAAGAUUUUGUCUAAGGCAAAGGAAAGGUUUUUUUACUGUUAGAACAAUAAGGAUGUUGAAUUCUCUGCCUGAAG